This is a long non-coding RNA of Hippoglossus stenolepis (Pacific halibut), 151 nucleotides long. RefSeq lists it as uncharacterized. NCBI's taxonomy places the organism in Eukaryota, Metazoa, Chordata, Actinopteri, Pleuronectiformes, Pleuronectidae. The record is from RefSeq and is a predicted model, not a curated record. The transcript is spliced from 3 exons.
UCUGGAAUGUGAUUGGCUGUUCAAUGUACACCACAGGUGAUGAAGGUGAGCAGGUGAACAGGUGAUGAAGGUGAGCAGGUGAUGAAGGUGAGCAGGUGAUGAAGGUGUUACAGGUGAUGAAGGUGAGCAGGUGAUGAAGGUGUUACAGGUG